Molecule: ribosomal RNA, 465 nt
Filed under: uncultured bacterium
Lineage: Bacteria
Description: partial 16S ribosomal RNA
Rfam family: Bacterial small subunit ribosomal RNA
Source: RNAcentral
CCUACGGGGGUCAGCAGUAGGGAAUCUUCCACAAUGGGCGAAAGCCUGAUGGAGCAACGCCGCGUGGGUGAAGAAGGUCUUCGGAUCGUAAAACCCUGUUGUUAGAGAAGAAAGUGCGUGAGAGUAACUGUUCACGUUUCGACGGUAUCUAACCAGAAAGCCACGGCUAACUACGUGCCAGCAGCCGCGGUAAUACGUAGGUGGCAAGCGUUAUCCGGAUUUAUUGGGCGUAAAGGGAACGCAGGCGGUCUUUUAAGUCUGAUGUGAAAGCCUUCGGCUUAACCGGAGUAGUGCAUUGGAAACGGGGAGACGUGAGGGCAGAAGAGGAGAGUGGAACUCCAUGUGUAGCGGUGAAAUGCGUAGAUAUAUGGAAGAACACCAGUGGCGAAAGCGGCUCUCUGGUCUGUAACUGACGCUGAGGUUCGAAAGCGUGGGUAGCAAACAGGAUUAGAUACCCGGGUAGUC